This 73-nucleotide transfer RNA is filed under the name Candidatus Nasuia deltocephalincola. RNAcentral's name for it is "Candidatus Nasuia deltocephalinicola tRNA-His". It matches the Rfam family "tRNA". From Rfam's summary of the family: Transfer RNA (tRNA) molecules are approximately 80 nucleotides in length. Their secondary structure includes four short double-helical elements and three loops (D, anti-codon, and T loops). Lineage: Bacteria; Pseudomonadati; Pseudomonadota; Betaproteobacteria. The record is from RNAcentral.
AUGAUUGUAACUCAAUUGGCAGAGUAUAGAAUUGUGGUUUCUAUAGUUGUGGGUUCGAACCCCAUCAAUCAUC